UACGUAGGGGGCAAGCGUUGUCCGGAAUCAUUGGGCGUAAAGCGCGCGUAGGCGGCCCGGUAAGUCCGUUGUGAAAGUCGGGGGCUCAACCCUCGGAUGCCGGUGGAUACUGUCGGGCUUGAGUACGGAAGAGGCGAGUGGAAUUCCUGGUGUAGCGGUGAAAUGCGCAGAUAUCAGGAGGAACACCAAUUGCGAAGGCAGCUCGCUGGGACGUUACUGACGCUGAGACGCGAAAGCGUGGGGAGCAAACAGG
Molecule: ribosomal RNA, 253 nt
Filed under: uncultured bacterium
Lineage: Bacteria
Description: partial 16S ribosomal RNA
Rfam family: Bacterial small subunit ribosomal RNA
Source: RNAcentral